UUUAACAUAUGAAUGUAUAUCAUUCCAUGAAAUUAAAACAGAGAUUAAGGUACGAUUUCACCAUUUACUAAUCAUUACAUUACACACACUCUAUCAUAUCAUACAUCCAUUCCAUCAUCAACCCCACCACAAACCCAAAAUCAACAAAGAAACAACAUUAACAUUAAUUAACUCAAAAGACCACUACCACAUAAUUAAAGCAUUAAGGCUAAAACAACACACAAAAAGAAGAGUGCAUAUGUGGUCACCACUAUGAUGCUGCAUACAUCAUCAUCAUCACCCUUCAUUUCAUUUUAACUUCUUAAAAUAUAAUUUUAUUCAUCUUGGUUCGAUGCCAAGAAAGUACAGAGAGAACCCCAAACACAAAGAGGCUCUCUCUCUCACACCCUUUGCAAUCUCAG
Molecule: long non-coding RNA, 401 nt
Filed under: Brassica rapa (field mustard)
Lineage: Eukaryota; Viridiplantae; Streptophyta; Magnoliopsida; Brassicales; Brassicaceae
Description: long non-coding RNA (BRAP_LNC000134)
Source: RNAcentral